AAAAUUUUGCCCGAACCCUUCUACGUUUCUCAUCUCACUCUGACACACAACUCAUUCCUCUCAUUCUUCCUCCCUCAUGGACGAUUUUGUGUAAAUUCAAAGUCGCCACCGCCGACUAUUACAUGCUCACCAGGUGUGAUUGCUACUGUUUUGGAGUUUGGAAGACCAUUAGAGCCUCAUGGUUUUCGUGAUGAUUCGAGUGGGGUCACUGUGCUUUAUUAAGGGAAUUUCAUACUUCUUUUGUAAUCUUUUCUUUCAAGGUCAAGUUUCAAGGUACUACUUUUCACUAAAGUGACGAGGUUUUAAUAUAAGAUUAUAGAUGGCUACUAGAAUGACAUUAUGUUGUUUUUCUGGCAUUUCACAUAUGCAUCGCAUAAAAUAUUCUUGGAUUUUUUUGGUCCUUAUAAAUAUCCACUAUUCAAAAGGAUAUUUGAUGAUAGGCAUGUCGAUUAAUUAUGCGUUAUAUGGUAAUAUUCAGUUGCCAUCAGCUCACACCAAUGUGCUAAAAAGAUAUGUGAUGAGCCUAGCAACUAGCAUAAUUGGUUUAAAAACCAAUGAAUGAAUAGCAAAAUAAGCUGAAGUGAGUUAAUUUUUCUAUGAUUUUUUUAGCUUGUUUUCAAUUAUUGCUAAUGCAUAGUAUUCUUUAUUGGUCUUGUUUAAUUUGGAAUCCUUUUAAAGUUGUUGGUAGUGAUUCUGAAUGGACAUCUAUUUGUACAAGGUCACAUGGGAGAAAAUGGGAAAUUGAUAUGGAUUAAGAACAGAAGAGAAAAGAAAAAUGACAAAAUGAAUGAAUAAAAAUAAAUGUAGGAAGGGGGUUGGCUGAUUGUUUGUGUUUGCAUUGACAUUGUCAAUUCUUUCUUAAUGAGUUUAAUUUGUUUUAUUUUUCUGUAUUUGGUGUUAAUUUUAAAAGUAGGUUUAUAUAUGUUCUUCCUUAAUGGGUGUAAAUGUGUUCUUUUAAAAAUAGAUGUGUUUUUAAUGUUUACAAAUUUUACAUGUUAUGGUGGUUUGGUAGAAUUUAAUUGAGCUCAUUACCAUUGUUGAAUGUGACAAUGGAAUGUGUGGAAAGUGAAACAUAUAUUUUCCCCUAUUUGAAGAAAGAGUGAGAUUCUUGGGUGUGCAAAAGUGAGAUUGUAUAUGGUAUGGUAAUUUAUCAAAAAAUAAAAAAAUAAAAUUUGUAUAUGGUAUGGAAUAUAUGAGUUUAAUAUUUAGAAUAUUUCUUUGAAUUUUAGGAUGGUUGGAUUUUUGUUGGAAUAGUUGAAGGUCUUCUUCUUAUGGAAUUUUUUGAUCAACAUAGAGUUGGAACUUGGCCGUGUAAGUUAUGAGUGUGAAAUUUUUGCUUCAUGCUUUAUAUAUAUUUGCUACAAAACUUGGUUUUACAAUGGAAAUGCAGCUUCUAGGGACUAGUUUUCAAUAGGAUGUUUAGACAAAAUUUUAAGAAACUUUAGCAGAAAUUAUUGGGAUUUUUUAUCCGUGAAUGGUCUAAAAAUUCUGGAAAAACUAUGUAGAGGCUUGUAAGAAGCUUUUCAAACAUGUUGGGAAACAAUGGAAAAUGUAUGGAAAAUGCUUCCCACAAAAUCAUCUCUUUAGCUAUACUCCUGAAGGAUUUUUUCCCUUUUCAA
This is a non-coding RNA of Camellia sinensis, 1619 nucleotides long. Lineage: Eukaryota; Viridiplantae; Streptophyta; Magnoliopsida; Ericales; Theaceae. The record is from RefSeq and is a predicted model, not a curated record.